Molecule: ribosomal RNA, 715 nt
Filed under: Klebsiella pneumoniae
Lineage: Bacteria; Pseudomonadati; Pseudomonadota; Gammaproteobacteria; Enterobacterales; Enterobacteriaceae
Description: partial 23S ribosomal RNA
Rfam family: Bacterial large subunit ribosomal RNA
Source: RNAcentral
GGUUAAGCGACUAAGCGUACACGGUGGAUGCCCUGGCAGUCAGAGGCGAUGAAGGACGUGCUAAUCUGCGAAAAGCGUCGGUAAGGUGAUAUGAACCGUUAUAACCGGCGAUGUCCGAAUGGGGAAACCCAGUGCAAUUCGUUGCACUAUCGUUAACUGAAUACAUAGGUUAACGAGGCGAACCGGGGGAACUGAAACAUCUAAGUACCCCGAGGAAAAGAAAUCAACCGAGAUUCCCCCAGUAGCGGCGAGCGAACGGGGAGCAGCCCAGAGUCUGAAUCAGCUUGUGUGUUAGUGGAACGGUCUGGAAAGUCCGACGGUACAGGGUGAUAGUCCCGUACACCAAAAUGCACAGGCUGUGAACUCGAAGAGUAGGGCGGGACACGUGGUAUCCUGUCUGAAUAUGGGGGGACCAUCCUCCAAGGCUAAAUACUCCUGACUGACCGAUAGUGAACCAGUACCGUGAGGGAAAGGCGAAAAGAACCCCGGCGAGGGGAGUGAAAAAGAACCUGAAACCGUGUACGUACAAGCAGUGGGAGCACCUUCGGGUGUGACUGCGUACCUUUUGUAUAAUGGGUCAGCGACUUAUAUUCUGUAGCAAGGUUAACCGUAUAGGGGAGCCGCAGGGAAACCGAGUCUUAACUGGGCGUUAAGUUGCAGGGUAUAGACCCGAAACCCGGUGAUCUAGCCAUGGGCAGGUUGAAGGUUGGGUAAC